This 506-nucleotide ribosomal RNA is filed under the name uncultured bacterium. Its description in RNAcentral is "partial 16S ribosomal RNA". It matches the Rfam family "Bacterial small subunit ribosomal RNA", at positions 28 to 523 of the family's 1533-position model. The record is from RNAcentral.
GAUGAACGCUGGCGGCGUGGAUAAGGCAUGCAAGUCGAACGCUUUAUUAUGUGUAGCAAUACAUGUGAUAAGGAGUGGCGAACGGGUGAGUAAAGUAUCGGAACGUGCCCAGUCGUGGGGGAUAACGUAGCGAAAGUUACGCUAAUACCGCAUACGAUCUAUGGAUGAAAGCGGGGGAUCGCAAGACCUCGCGCGAUUGGAGCGGCCGAUAUCAGAUUAGGUAGUUGGUGGGGUAAAGGCUCACCAAGCCGACGAUCUGUAGCUGGUCUGAGAGGACGACCAGCCACACUGGGACUGAGACACGGCCCAGACUCCUACGGGAGGCAGCAGUGGGGAAUUUUGGACAAUGGGCGAAAGCCUGAUCCAGCCAUGCCGCGUGCAGGAUGAAGGCCUUCGGGUUGUAAACUGCUUUUGUACGGAACGAAAAGGUUUGGCCUAAUAAGCUGAGCUCAUGACGGUACCGUAAGAAUAAGCACCGGCUAACUACGUGCCAGCCGCCGCGGUAA